This is a long non-coding RNA of Diabrotica virgifera virgifera (western corn rootworm), 572 nucleotides long. RefSeq lists it as uncharacterized. The record is from RefSeq and is a predicted model, not a curated record. Lineage: Eukaryota; Metazoa; Arthropoda; Insecta; Coleoptera; Chrysomelidae. The transcript has 2 exons.
UUUUGAAUACGUUAUUCUUCUAAGAAUUCACAUCAAGUUGAAUUGGUGGGAUGAAAAAAAGUGGACAAUUUCUAGAGUUUAAUACUCAUAUUGGGAUAAACCGUAAUCGUACCCCCUCCUAACUGCUAAAGUGUCAUGGCCGCCGUCGGGACCUAUUGUGCUGACAUUUACAAUGUUUACAUAUAGAAAAGUUUGUUUUUUUCUGCUUAUAAUGCCGUUUUCUAAAGAUAUUAGUGAACAAAAUCGAUUUGCUAACAAUAUUUAAUAUAUUUUAAAUGUGCUAAAAUUGGAUUCAACAGCAAAAGUCGCAUAAAUAACAUAUAAAUAACGAAUUUGUUUACCUAUUACAAAUGGGGUUAUGUGGUUGUAACUGUUUAUUUUGGGAAUAAAAUGAAAAUGAUCAAUUAAACGACUGGAAAACUAUAGUAAAGUGAAGAACAUCUUGAAGUUCCAAUGAUGUUUCAAGAUGAGAUAAAUCGAAAUAAUGGUUGUAUGUUAGAAGGACAGAGAAUACGAAGAAAUGUUAUUGCUGCAUACUUAGUGUAGUGAAAUACAAACUUCAAACAUUAUAA